GAUUUGCGUUAGCGAUAGGAGUGGCAUCCUUUUUUGAAGAGUAACGUAAAAAAAGAUAAAACGGAUAGCGCGACCUGAA
This 79-nucleotide small RNA is filed under the name Lutibacter oricola. RNAcentral's name for it is "Flavo-1 RNA". It matches the Rfam family "Flavo-1 RNA". The record is from RNAcentral. Lineage: Bacteria; Pseudomonadati; Bacteroidota; Flavobacteriia; Flavobacteriales; Flavobacteriaceae.